CAUCUCUCUUUUAUUUAUUUAAUACAUACGUUAAGUAACAGAAUUCUGAGCUCAUUGUCAAGCUGAGAAAGAGUUUGUGCAGUAUUGUACCGGGUACUAUGGAUUAGGGGCAGUGAUGUGCUGAUAAACCAGCUCUCUAAAAAAGUGAAAUAAUAAUAACAACAAUAACAGUAAAUAAUAAUAAUAGUACAAUCCUGAUUUGUAGCAUUUUUCAAUGUCCAUGGCCUAAGUACUCCCACUAUGGCCAAUCUCAAGGUGCCACUGUGACAUCAGCAAAAGUGCAAUUGGGAACAGAGGUGUUGAGAGGAGAUGAUAAACAAUCAACUCUUCAAAGCCAGUGAGAGUCCCUGGCUUCUGAUGGGCCUCUGACAUUUGUUCUGACAUCUGGGAAAAUGAAAAAUUCAACGUUGCCAGUGAGGACACACUGAGAAGGCAGCCAGCCAUCUGCAAGCCAGGAGAAGUGUUCUCAACAGAAACCAAAUUGUCCAGAACUUUGAUCUUGGACUUUCAGCUUCCAAAACUCCAGCAUCCCAAUCCCAGAUUCAAAGCGACAUUUUAAAGCCCAGAGCAUGGUGGACUGACCCCCAAGGGAAGAUUAUAGAAUAAAAACUCCAUUAGAAUGAUAGAGACUCGUCACUCCUUUAAACACCUUAUUCAGUAAAUAUUUAUUAGGCACCAUCUGAGUGCAUGGGUGCUGAGAAUUCUCUAUUUAGAGCUUUUGAGGAAAAUACAGAGAAAACGGAUUGAAAACAGGCAAUAGUGGUUCCCAGCUAUCUGGAGGUAGCCUUUUGAGGAAGUUCACUGAUGGAAGACAUUCCAGGGAUUGGUCACAUGUCUGAAGGGAGAAGACUGGUGACCUAAGAGGACACAAAUCCAGUGCAGGACCCAAAGUUGUGGGUUGUUAUGGAAAAAAAAAAAAAAAA
RNAcentral lists this long non-coding RNA (923 nucleotides) under Canis lupus familiaris (dog). RNAcentral describes it as "lncRNA (ENSCAFG00030008454.1)". Lineage: Eukaryota; Metazoa; Chordata; Mammalia; Carnivora; Canidae. The record is from RNAcentral.